GUAUGUCGAUAAUGUCGAUUUGGGAGCAUCCAAAUCCCACAGCCAACCCCACAAGCCCAGCAGAGGGGAAGCUUACACUGACUCCUUCCCCUUUUCCUCCAGUGCUAUAUCCUAGGAGGGCCUAUAGGUCCCUGAUUUCUUCCCUUUCGCCCCUCGUGGUAUGUUCCAGGAGGAGCCUGCAAGCAGUCCGACUUCUCAUCCCCUGUUAUCUGCCAGGAGAUAAUAGCCAUUGGCAUCUCCGUGUCUUUCCAGAGGCCUCUCAGCUUCUCUGAACAUCAUUACACAGAUCCAUAGAGUUCAGAGCCAAAGACCCUUUCUCCAAGAAGCCCGCCAGAGAAACGCCCCCAUUCUUGCUCCCCACCACCUGUGAGGCAGGGCCACCGCUCCGCAACGUGAGUAGAGGCUUCCUCAUCCUCUGUACGGAAUGGACACUCCUCCAACAUGGCGUACCCCACGGGGAAUCGCACCUCUGGCGCGGCCACGUUCCCCGCCUGACCACGCUGCCGAUGGGCACUGAAUGCCCCAAAACUUCGACUCCGUAACAUGGCGAUGUUGACUGUUGGUUGACUGCGGCUUCGAACGCGGUUUUGCGCCUGUGCAGAGCCACGCCCCUUCGUGUGUGAACCUCCCACCCAAACCCCGAGAAGGGGCGGUGCUAGGGGUGGUGACCGGAAGCGCCUGCAGUUUUCGGCCGCGAUUUGAUAGUUGUUGUGAAGAGGAUCCCGGUGCUCUGUGUCCUAGCGGUGUGAAGAGAAAGGAGAGAUUAAGUCUCCACUGUGAUAAUGAUUUUAUUCAUUUCUUCUUCCGCUGUUCAUGACCCAAUUUGAGUUGUUUUGUAUGAAGCGGUUUCUUGGAAUCUCUGCUUAGCCCUUGGGACAGACCCUGUGGUAAAGGCUGCAAGAUCUUCCAUUUCCAGCAUCAGCAGCUGUGGUUAAGUCCACAGGUGCCCACCUGACCUCGGGUUCCUGGGAAGGGCAGAGUUGUCAGUAAGAGAACCGGGGGGUAAAGCCCAGCAGGAAGAUGCCAGGCAAUCAGAGUGCUGCUGACUACAGGGGCACGGGACAACUCCUGUGAGGUAAGGAGUAGGAAGAGGCACCCAGGGACAGAAAUUCUCCAGAAUGAAAGAUAAUAUCUCAUUAUUUUAAUUUAUAUGACUUUUUUUUUAAUCAGGCAACAUAAUCAGGGGAUUUUUAUUGCUGAUUUAUGUAUGUGAAUUUCUUUCUGUCCAUUGUUGAUUUAUUUAUAUUAACUUAAGGAUUUUUACAGAGUUUUUUUGAAGAGUAAGGUUAAUAAUCUUUUAUCAUUCUUAUAUAUUGGGUUGGCCAAAAAGUUUGUUUGGGGUUUUCUGUACGAUGUUAUGGAAAAAACCCAAAUGAACUUUUUGGUUAACCCAAUAUUUCUGUGAAUAUUUUUUUGCCACUUUGUAAUUUGAAAUUAGCUUCUAGUUUAGUUAUAAGUGACAAAAGGUGCCAAAGAGUUCUCAAAGUCUUCUUAAAACAAUGACUCUUCCCUGAUUUGUUUCUCCCAGAUUCCAGCUCCCUAGAAGCAAGCUCUCUUAAACUUUUUAAUGGAUUUCUUUUUAGUUUUGAACAUUAUCUAUUGACUUUCCACUAUGGAAGGUAGAGAUUUAGCUUUUCCAUGCACCUCCACUCAUAUACACAUUUGCCUCUACCUAUCACUGUUCUGAUUAGAUCUAUCGUGUUUAUUAUUGUGACUGUUUAUAGUUGAGUCAUGUAGUAUCCAUGCUUACGGUUUCUUCACAACUUUUACUUUACCCUGGAAUUAACUAUUUUUCAAUGGAUUGAUCAUUUCUUUGCUUUACUAUAUACAUAUCAAUAAUUCAACUCAAAAUUCUUUCUAGUUAUUUAAAUCUCCUCUCUGUAUGUUCAGACAUAGACGUUAAGGAAUCUGCCUGCAGUGUGAGACUCAGGUUCACUUCCUUGGUCAGGAAGAUUCCCUGGAGAAGGGACUAGCAACCCACUGCAGUAUUCUUGCCUUGAGAAUCCCAUGGACAGAGGAGCCUGGUGGGCUACAGUCCAUGGGGUUGCAAAGAGUCAGACACUCACAUAGUGACAUUACUUAUAAAUACUCAUACCAUGUUUACUAUGAGCCCAGCACUGUUAAACACACACUACAUCUACUAACUCAUCUUUGUUACAAUCUGGAGAAGUAGGUACCAUUGUUAUUCUCAUUUUAUAUAAGGGGAAACUGUUGUUUGUUGUUUAGUUGCUGAGUCGUAUCCAACUCUUUGAAGCUCCAUGGACUAUAGCCCCCCAGGCUCCUCUCUCCAUGAAAUUUUCCAGGCAAGAAUGCUGGAGUGGAUUGACAUUUCCUUUUCCAAGGGGAAACUGGGGCAUAGAGAAAAACUAUCUGGCCUAAGUUAACACAGCAAGUAAUAGUGGGGAGUGCUAUCUCAACUCUGGGUAUCAGUGUCUUCUCUUUGAAAAAAUCUUCCCUGGACCUUGUUGACUUGCUGAAGGCUUGUCUGGUUGCUCUCUCACGUUCAUGCACAGCUAUGAUUUUGGUGUCUACUCUUCACCAUCUAUCAGGAAAUCCUUUUUACCUCUGUCUUGUAUCAGAUUCCCUUCCCUGAGAAUCCAGUUUUUUCCUUCCUGUUUCCUAGAUCCUGUGUCUUCCUCCUUCUUGGUUUACCCCCUAAUUUGGGGGGUGGGGUACAUCCUUCAGUAUGUCCUUGAAAAUGGAUGCAUGACAAGUGAACUUUACGAAGCUUUGCAUAUCUGAAAAUGUCAUGUAAAAUGUAUUUAUGUAAUAUAUAUUUAACUGUGUAAAUACAUUUAUAGAAAUAAAAAAGUAAUAAAUACCAUGGAAAUAUGUUUAUUUGACCUGA
Molecule: long non-coding RNA, 2848 nt
Organism: Cervus elaphus (red deer)
Lineage: Eukaryota; Metazoa; Chordata; Mammalia; Artiodactyla; Cervidae
Exons: 3
Source: RefSeq, a predicted model, not a curated record